Molecule: ribosomal RNA, 253 nt
Filed under: uncultured bacterium
Lineage: Bacteria
Description: partial 16S ribosomal RNA
Rfam family: Bacterial small subunit ribosomal RNA
Source: RNAcentral
UACGUAGGCAGCGAGCGUUGUUCGGAGUUACUGGGCGUAAAGAGCUCGUAGGCGGUCGGGUAAGUCGGGUGUGAAAUCUCCGGGCUCAACUCGGAGGGGCCACCCGAUACUGCACGACUCGAGUCCGGUAGGGGAGUGGGGAAUUCCUGGUGUAGCGGUGAAAUGCGCAGAUAUCAGGAGGAACACCGGUGGCGAAGGCGCCACUCUGGGCCGGUACUGACGCUGAGGAGCGAAAGCGUGGGUAGCAAACAGG